RNAcentral lists this ribosomal RNA (819 nucleotides) under Methanosarcina barkeri. RNAcentral describes it as "bacterial SSU rRNA". It matches the Rfam family "Archaeal small subunit ribosomal RNA", at positions 161 to 978 of the family's 1478-position model. Lineage: Archaea; Methanobacteriati; Methanobacteriota; Methanomicrobia; Methanosarcinales; Methanosarcinaceae. The record is from RNAcentral.
GCACAUAUGCUGGAAUGCUUUAUGCGUAAAAUGGAUUCGUCUGCCCAAGGAUGGGUCUGCGGCCUAUCAGGUAGUAGUGGGUGUAAUGUACCUACUAGCCUACAACGGGUACGGGUUGUGAGAGCAAGAGCCCGGAGAUGGAUUCUGAGACAUGAAUCCAGGCCCUACGGGGCGCAGCAGGCGCGAAAACUUUACAAUGCGGGAAACCGUGAUAAGGGGACACCGAGUGCCAGCAUCAUAUGCUGGCUGUCCAGAUGUGUAAAAUACAUCUGUUAGCAAGGGCCGGGCAAGACCGGUGCCAGCCGCCGCGGUAACACCGGCGGCCCGAGUGGUGAUCGUGAUUAUUGGGUCUAAAGGGUCCGUAGCCGGUUUGGUCAGUCCUCCGGGAAAUCUGAUGGCUCAACCAUUAGGCUUUCGGGGGAUACUGCCAGGCUUGGAACCGGGAGAGGUAAGAGGUACUACAGGGGUAGGAGUGAAAUCUUGUAAUCCCUGUGGGACCACCUGUGGCGAAGGCGUCUUACCAGAACGGGUUCGACGGUGAGGGACGAAAGCUGGGGGCACGAACCGGAUUAGAUACCCGGGUAGUCCCAGCCGUAAACGAUGCUCGCUAGGUGUCAGGCAUGGCGCGACCGUGUCUGGUGCCGCAGGGAAGCCGUGAAGCGAGCCACCUGGGAAGUACGGCCGCAAGGCUGAAACUUAAAGGAAUUGGCGGGGGAGCACAACAACGGGUGGAGCCUGCGGUUUAAUUGGACUCAACGCCGGACAACUCACCGGGGACGACAGCAAUAUGUAGGCCAGGCUGAAGACCUUGCCUGAAUC